This 161-nucleotide ribosomal RNA is filed under the name uncultured bacterium. RNAcentral's name for it is "partial 16S ribosomal RNA". The record is from RNAcentral.
GCACGGAAUUAGCCGGUGCUUCUUCUGUGGGUAGCGUCAACUCCCAGGGGUAUUAGCCCUGAGCCUUUCCUCCCCACUGAAAGUGCUUUACAACCCGAAGGCCUUCUUCACACACGCGGCAUGGCUGCGUCAGGGUUGCCCCCAUUGCGCAAUAUUCCCCA